UGUUGCCUCCGGGGCGACCCUGCCUUCGGGCGGGGGCUCCGGGUGGACACUUCAAACUCUUGCGUAACUUUGCAGUCUGAGUAAACUUAAUUAAUAAAUUAAAACUUUUAACAACGGAUCUCUUGGUUCUGGCAUCGAUGAAGAACGCAGCGAAAUGCGAUAAGUAAUGUGAAUUGCAGAAUUCAGUGAAUCAUCGAAUCUUUGAACGCACAUUGCGCCCCCUGGUAUUCCGGGGGGCAUGCCUGUUCGAGCGUCAUUUCACCACUCAAGCCUCGCUUGGUAUUGGGCAACGCGGUCCGCCGCGUGCCUCAAAUCGACCGGCUGGGUCUUCUGUCCCCUAAGCGUUGUGGAAACUAUUCGCUAAAGGGUGUUCGGGAGGCUACGCCGUAAAACAACCCCAUUUCUAAGGUUGACCUCGGAUCAGGUAGGGAUACCCGCUGAACUUAAGCAUAUCAAUA
RNAcentral lists this ribosomal RNA (458 nucleotides) under Cladosporium uredinicola. RNAcentral's name for it is "eukaryotic LSU rRNA". The stretch from base 103 to 256 matches the Rfam family "5.8S ribosomal RNA". The record is from RNAcentral. Lineage: Eukaryota; Fungi; Ascomycota; Dothideomycetes; Cladosporiales; Cladosporiaceae.